GUUUUGCCCUUGUUCAGAUCGAUCACGACGACCUUCCUCCAUCGCGCCGCCGUGCAGGGCCGCCGCCACCGUCCCGCUUCCUCCAUCGCGCCGUGGUGAAUGGCCGGGCUUCACGCAGGUUCAGAUUGACCACGCCAAGCUGUUGAUCGAUCAUUCUAUGGCAGAGGAACAGGUUCAAGUAAAUUGAUCAAACCCAGUUCAGCUUGCCUGAUCCUUAUCCAUCUGCGUUUGCAGAAAUGGGAGAUGGGAGAAGAAGAAAUCUGCACAAAAGGAGAAGAAGAAAGCUGAACAAGAGACAUUUCUAACAAAUACUUUGAUUCUUCGAAAAGCUCUACACUUUAAGUCCACUAAUUUAGUAUUUAUUUCAGGUUCACUCCAUGAAAAUGAAAAAUAAAAGAUCAAAUGCAAAAAAGAAAAUCAUCCGAGAGAGACAGGCUACAACAAGAGGAGACGAAAUAUGAGGUAGCUAUUUCUUUAGUUACAGCACAAUUCAAGUAUCUUUGUUUGUCAUCUCUUUAUUUUCACUACAUACCUGAGCACAUAUGUCUUUUACCACUUUAUCUGGACCAGGAAUCUUUUUUCUUGGACAUUAGUUUUUCUUUUUGAAACGCGGGCAAAAGCUUUGCCCUUUCUAUUAAUUAAGGAGAAGUUUUACAAGAAAAAAAAGGUGUUGGACUAUCGAUACUUUGGCUCAUGCGUUGGAAAAGGCAACGGGACAUGGGCUUCUCAAUAAGAUCCGAGGGCGGGGUACCAUCCUCCGCACAUCUCUUUAUGCGGAUGAUGUGGCAGUUUUGUAGCCCCUAUUAAAGAAGACAUUCAAAACCUCGCCCACAUCCUCAAUGACUUCGGAAAGGUUACCAGGCUAUGCACAAACUUCCUCAAGAGCUCCGUAGUGCCCAUAAGGUGUGCCAACAUUGACCUCGAUGACAGCCACAAUACCAUAUGGAGCAAUUCAUGUAUAUAUUUUUGUCUCUUUAUUUAUUUCUAUAGCAAGUACCUUCUAAACUUGCUUGGUGCAGGAACCGUUUGACUUUAGUGUUAGCAACAUAAAUCAAACAAUGACAGCUGCAUCACCAUAUGGAGGUUCAUCGUCUGUCGUUAUGCCUCCAAUUCUAGGAAAAUAUACAAGCAUGUUGUAUCAAGUUCAGCAAAGCUCCGCUCCUGUGUCCAGUUCUCUGCAAUUACGCUUUGAUGGAACUGGAGAAGUCCAACAAUACGAUGGAUCAAAGUUAGAGAUGAAUUGUGUAAUUUAAGGAUGUUGGAUGCAGACCUUUGUUAUAAUCUUUUAUGCACUUGGAAAUUUUAAUGUAAUAGCUAAUAGGCACAGGGUAGUAGAAAGUAAACGAAUUUAUGUUU
Lolium perenne is the source of this 1356-nucleotide long non-coding RNA. RefSeq lists it as uncharacterized. NCBI's taxonomy places the organism in Eukaryota, Viridiplantae, Streptophyta, Magnoliopsida, Poales, Poaceae. The record is from RefSeq and is a predicted model, not a curated record.